Molecule: long non-coding RNA, 5667 nt
Filed under: Carica papaya (papaya)
Lineage: Eukaryota; Viridiplantae; Streptophyta; Magnoliopsida; Brassicales; Caricaceae
Description: long non-coding RNA (CPAP_LNC003628)
Source: RNAcentral
AAAAAUUCUAAAUUUAUUCUGAAUUCGAGGAUCUCUACAUCAUUUACUUUUUAGCAGUCCCAUGCCUCUCUUGCCAGAUCUUCUACCCACAGCAUGCCAACACAAAUCAAUUCUCAUGUUCCAUUUUGAUUAUGAAUCGAAGUUUGUUUUCUGCUACUGGAACAGACCAGAAGACGAGAUCUGCAUUCAUGGCCUUGCCGUGAAUUCUACCGUUGAGAACAUGCUGUGAGGUUAGUAAGAGAGUGCAUGCUAAGUAAUUGCUUCUGUUCCUCAGAGGAAGGCAGUUUCCGUAUUUCUGUUUAUACCUAAUUGAUGGGAGGGGUUUAUAAUUAAUCUACCCUCUGAAGCUCAUUAGCUUUUUAAUAGUGUUAGCUUAACACGAUUGUAGUCUUAACAGCUUUGAUAUUGAUUGAAAUUGCAUAGAAUUUGUACUGUUAACUCUGGCCUUUUUCGUUAGACUCUUAUAUAGUGUAUGCAUGUGAGUAGGGGUAACAAGUUGGGGUACUAAUCGGAUGUUAUCCGUAAACAGGGUCAAAAUUUCAUGUUACAAUCUAAUUACUUUUUCAGUUUAAUUUAAAAUUGGUCAAUUUUAUCUUACCCUUUAUAUCCAAUGUUGCAUUGUUGGGUGGUGCCAGAAAUUGUUAACAGAUACACAGAUCAUCAGAAUUAGAUGAUGACUCGUAACUUGACUCCACAAUUGACUAAAUUUUCUUUUUCUUGUCAUGAUUUUUGAUGUUUAAUAUGAACUAGUUGUAUGUAAUAAUACUUGUUGCUUCUGUGGUUGGAGGUAUAAAGAUUAGUUUCAUUAUCAAGCAAUAGCGUGGAAUAUGGUAUCUGUCGUUGUAUUUGCACAAAUGAAUGAAUACUAUUGAAGAGAAGAAAUGUAAUAACAUGGAGCAACAAAUGGUUAAGAAAUGGAAUCAUAUAAUUUUGUAUCUAAAUUAUAUCUGCAUAAGUUUCCUGAAUGUACAUAUCGAAAAAUUUUUAGCCAAAAAAUGCAAAUGAAUCUCAAAAUUUGGUAUCAUUGCAACUUGAUUUACAGGGUUAGUGAUUGAGGAUAUUGAGAAAGGAAACUCUGGUUUUGAUCAAUCGUCUAGAAAGGCAUUCAAGGCCAUCUUCAAGAUCUUGAAUGCACUGCUCCAAGUUUUUUAGUUGGGCUUGAAUACUUUGAAUGAGCAUGCUGUAACCACAUUUGCUUGUCUUGGGACUGCAGAGAGACUGCAAAGCGCUGUCCAUGUUGGCAAAUUCAUUAUUGUCUGAAAAUUCUUCCUCGGGAGCCACUCUUUUGUGGUGGAUCAGUUUAGAAACUAAUGACCAGCUGCUUGGCUUCGUUUGCAGAUUGGACCCUGAGAUUAGGGACAAUAAGGACUCAAGAGCAGUGGCAGUUACUGCUUCAGCUUCGCGUAACAUGCUUAACAUUGCGGAAGCUUCCUUGUCUAAAUUGAUGGGAGAGGAAGUGCGGCUCUUUUCAAUACCUUUCAAUUUCCUCAGAGCUUUGUGGAUUGCCUUUUUCACCAAUUUUCUGGAAGCUAAGUAUUUCUUAAUCUCAGCUUCACCUCCACAUCUUCGGCGGAAACUUGACUGAAGUUCACGUGUGGAUUCCUUUGUCAGAAGUAAUACAUCUUUAGCGGAGCUGCACACAUCCAAGAGCCGGAGAGAUCCAUCUAGUAGCUCUGCCACACCUUCUUCAUUCAACUCUCGGGUUAAUGUUUGUUGGCAGAGAGGCAAGAGAAGCAGCUUCUCAACACACUCAUACAGAUCUUGAAGGGCACUUAUUUUGCCACAAACUGAUGUUGAUAAUGUUGAUGCAGAUACUGAAGACUUUAUUCUGCACAAUUGGACAUCAACUUGUUGUAGAAAAGGAUGUGUUAUGCAAGGGAAGCUAUGGGACCGAGCAUGGUAGGCAGCCAUUUUUUUUAGAGAAAAGAGAGGGUUAGCAGAUGAAUUCUGAUUUCACUGUAAACAAUUUGCCUUGUGUCUUUUGCUUCCCCUCAUUAUAUAUUGCAGGUCAAUGGAGACAGAAAGAAUCUUUUUUCUUCUUCCUCUUCGUUAUCAAUUAUUAAAAGUGAAGAGUGUUCUGGAUUUAGGUAGUCUGUCAAUAAUGUUUAUGCAUGUCUCCCUCUUACCACAUCUCCAGGUCAGCUUUCCUAAAGAAUAUACAGACGCUUGAGUGGCACUAAGAGAGCCCUAGGACAAGAGACAAUAGCCUUACCAUCUCAUCUUUACUCACUGUAUGUUGUUGCUUUCGAUUUCUUAAAAUAAUUUCAUCUGCCAGUCCAUCUCCACAUGAAAAUGACACCAGUAAUCUCUAUCUAAUUGUACACAACCAUUUCCACCUAAAUGCAUCAAUAAUCCAUGUUAAGGACUGAUUGAAAAAUUUGAUGUUGCAUGUUCCUUAUCUGGCUUCUGCACAAGUAGUAUGCAAGUUAUUCAUAAUCUAAUAUCACCUUUUCUUUUUUUUUUCUUUCAUUGAAAAUGGCUUGAGGCUGAACUAGGCUGGAUAAAUCAGACUGUCUCUCCAAACAGAGAAAGCCAGAAUAUCUUCUUUAGUUUUUGUCAAUAUUUAAUCUUCUGCCUAUAGACAAUUCAGGUCAGUAGCAUGGAGGACGCAAAUAAUAUGCUUUAUAUGUAUCUCUGUAAAGUCAGGUUUUUCCCUCAAUGCGUGCCUGUUGGAUGUGCAUGGAUGCUAACUCCAGUUUAUUAAUAAACAAUUUACUUGAAUUUUCACUUUAAUCAGCAUUUCCUGCAAUAUUUAGAUGAGAUCUGCAUACUCGGCCAUAACAUACCUGACAAAAAUGGAGACAAAUGGUUAGUGAGGACAAUAACUCUGCCAUCCUCUAUAAAAUGUUAGAGUACUUUCACUUUUAUAAAACACAUUUUAGACAUGUUACCAAGUCUUGUGAAAAGAUUAUAGCUAGUGAUAGAAAAGGUAUAUUCAUCUUGUAAUAUCAGGUCUGAGUCUUUCGAGUUCUUGUGCAUCAAUGUGGAUGCUUAUGGAUUUUUAUAUCAAUCAAUUGAUUUUCCUCAAGACAUAUAUGAUGCUCUUAAAAGAAAAAAGGACAAAAAAAUAGUAUGGCUGCAAGAUCUUCUGAGAACCAGUGUUUAACUUUAGUAUGAAUUGAAGAGUACAAAUACUUUUAGUCUAUAUACAGAGCAUCAUGAUUUUUUUUUUUUGGCUAGUGAUUAGCGACAUUGAUAAAGGAGACUCUGGUCCUGAUCAACUUUCUGUAUAUGCACUCAAGUCCUUCUUCAAGAUCUUGAAUGCACAACUCUAAAUUUUUCAACUGCCCUUGCACAUGUUCAACAAGCAUGCUGUUGUCAUAUUUGCUCAUCCUGUGACCAUAAAGAGAUUGCAAGACACCAUCCACCUUAGCAAUUUCAUUUCCGUCGUUCUCUUCAUCCUUGCAUGCAACUAUUUUGUGGUGCAUCAGUUGGGAAACUACUGACCACCCUCUAGGCUUCAAUUGCGAAUUUGAGCCCGAGAUAUAGAGCAAGAAUGAGUUGAAGACGUUGAGGGUAAAGGUUUCCACCUCUGUUAACAUGCUAACCAUGCCACUGUCUCAUGGUCUUUGUCACAUUGUUUUUGCAUUCCCUUCAAGCUCCCCAUAGCCUUAUAGGUUUCUUUCUUAAUCAUCUUUCUUGAGGCUAAUAAUAUCUUAACCUCUUCUUCAACUCCACAUCUUGUCCAAAUGAUUGAAAAAGUUCUCAUGUGAAUUCCUUUGUUUGCAGCAAGGCAUCCUUAGCAGUGCUGCAGAUGUCCAAGAGCCUAAGAGAACCAUCCAGCAAGGCGUCCUUGUGCUAAUGUUCUUUGGGUGAGAGGUGAGAAGCAACUUUUCAACACAAUCAUGCAAAUCCUGAGGGCCAGUUAGAUUGUGGUUUAUUGAUGAGGACUGUGAUGAUGCUUCUUCUGAGACCCUUAUUCUGCAUAAGUUCUCUUCAACUGUGGGAGGAGAGGAUGUUGUCUGGAAGGCCAACUGUUGGAGCGAACAUGAUAGGCAGCCAUUUUUACCUACAAAAAGAGAAGGCAUAGAAAGUGAAUAUUGCUAAUUUCCUGUUUGCUUUCCUUCUGUUCUUUGCAUACCUUCAAUGCAUAUAUUAUAGGUUAAGAGAGACACAAGGAAUCUCUUCCACUUCAAUUAUGGAUCAUUAGUAGAAAAAUAUUGAUUCGGAUCUAUAUCCUAUCUCAGCAAUGUUUAUUUAUGCUUGUCUCCCCCUCAGCAGACCCCCAACUCGUCAUCACAUUACUAAAAACUCCUAGAAUCAAUCGUGUUGGUCCUAUAUAAUAUAGGAACAUUGCACGAGUGGCUGAAUAAUAUGCGUACGAAAUGACAUUAUGAUAAUCCUCAAUACUAAUUCAAACAUUUAGAGUGCUCAUCAGAUUGCUGUGCAGUGGGCAGGCAAGAUCUUCAUAAACGGGAUUACUUGUCUUCCUCUAAAAUAUCAAAACUGCAAAUAGCAUAUGAAAUGAAUUAUUAGUUGGCUAGGUGAAUAAGACUUUUUCUUCAAACAGAUGAAGGGCCAGGCUACUUCUUAACUGUGCAAGUGUCAUUAAUUUGUUUCUGGUAAGUAGUUGAUCAUUUGCUUGGAGAGAACUAGCAUCUUAGACCAUGUGGGAUCUGAGUUCACCAAGUGCAACAGAUCAUACACGGGAGAGAGAAGACUGUGUAUUUAUCGUCAAGAUUUACUUAUUAUUUAUCAAUUAAAACUUAAACUUACCAUGCUUGUAAUUUAUCUAAUCUGAACUCACACAUCGUCUGUGAUUUUUUUUUUUUUUUGAAAUAUAAAGCAUCUAUGGUUAUUCUUAACUAGAUGGUCGAAUACUUGAUGGUUGAAUUUUGUUUCUUUACCAACUGAAUGUAGAAUGAGAUAUUAGCCGUAACAUUUGCACAAACGAAUGUUACUGAGAGAGAAGAAAGACAAGAUAAUAGAAAAGAGAAUUUAUUGAAAAUAGUAUUUAACUGUAGUAUAAUAUUAUUACAUGUGUAAUUUCUCUAUGUACAGAUCCCAAAAUUGAGUAUGGUUAAGUCUUGACUCUCUUGCUAGGCUAGUGAUUGAAGAUAUUGAGGAAGGAAACUCUAGUUUUAAUCAAUCGUCUGUACAGGCAUUCAAGACCAUCUUCAAGUUCUUGAAUGUACUGCUCCAAAUCUUUUAGCUGGUUUUGUACAUUCUCAAGAAACAUAUGUUUAUCACGUCUGCUUUCCUUGUGACCGUAGAGAGAUUCCAAUGCGCCAUCUGCCUGCAUAAAUUUGUCAUUGCCUAAAACUUCUUCAGAUGCCACUCUUCUGUGGUGCAUCACUUUCGAAACCAAUGACCAACCACUUUUCUUUUUUUGCAGAUUAGACCCUGAGAUAAGAGACAAUAGGGAUUUGAGAGCAGCGGCAGUUACUGCUUCAACUUCUCUUAGCAUACUUACUACAGCCAGAGCUUCAUGGUCUUUGUUGAUGGGCGAGAUACUGCAUUUCUUUUCCACACCCUUCAAGUUUCCCAAAGCCUUUUGGAUUGCCUUCUUCACAAUUUUCCUGGAGGCUAAAUAUUUCUUAAUAUCUGUUUCAUCCCCACAUCUUCUCCGCAUACUUGAUUGAAGUUCACGUGUGCAUUCCUUUGUUUGCAGCAACACAUCCUUAGCAGAGCUACACGCAUCUAAGAGCCUGAGAGAUCCAUCCAGUA